RNAcentral lists this ribosomal RNA (474 nucleotides) under uncultured bacterium. RNAcentral's name for it is "partial 16S ribosomal RNA". The record is from RNAcentral.
CACGUAGUUAGACCGGGGCUUUCUGGUAAAGUACCGUCAUCCUAGCAUCAUUUCCUAUACUAGGUAUUCUUCCUUUACAACAGAGUUUUACAACCCAUAGGGCCUUCAUCACUCACGCGGCAUUGCUCGUUCAGGGUUUCCCCCAUUGACGAAUAUUCCUAACUGCUGUCUCUCGUAGGAGUCUGGGCCGUGUCUCAGUCCCAGUGUGUCCGAUCAGCCUCUCAGCUCGGAUAUGCAUCGUUGCCUUGGUAGGCCAUUACCCCACCAACUAGCUAAUACAACGCAAGCCCCAUCUCAAAGUGAAGCAAAUGCUCCUUUAAGUAUCUAGUUAUCUAAUUACGAUCAUCUGGUAUUAGCGUUCAUUUCUAAACGUUAUCCCAGUCUCUGAGGUAGGUUACCCACGUGUUACUCACCCGUCUCGCCACUAAGUAGACAACCCAAUUACCUAAUUUUGUAGACAAGCACUCCAUCUUC